UACAGAGGGUGCAAGCGUUGCUCGGAAUCAUUGGGCGUAAAGGGUAGGUAGGUGGUCUCGUUUGUCUGGGGUGAAAUCCUUGAGCUUAACUCAAGAAGUGCCUUAGAAACGGCGAGACUAGAGUCUUGGAGAGGGUCGUGGAAUUCCCGGUGUAGCGGUGAAAUGCGUAGAGAUCGGGAGGAACACCAGAGGCGAAAGCGGCGGCCUGGACAAGUACUGACACUCAACUACGAAAGCGUGGGUAGCAAACAGG
This 253-nucleotide ribosomal RNA is filed under the name uncultured bacterium. Its description in RNAcentral is "partial 16S ribosomal RNA". It matches the Rfam family "Bacterial small subunit ribosomal RNA", at positions 524 to 776 of the family's 1533-position model. The record is from RNAcentral.